GGUGUUGCAUGGCUGUCGUCAGCUCGUGCCGUGAGGUGUUAGGUUGAGUCCUGUAACGAGCGCAACCCCUGCCGUUAGUUACAUGUGUCUAACGGGACUGCCCGGCUCAACUGGGAGGAAGGUGGGGACGACGUCAAGUCAGCAUGGCCUUUAUAUCCUGGGCUACACACACGCUACAAUGGUCGGUACAAUGGGUCGCCAAGCCGCGAGGCGGAGCCAAUCCUCCAAAACCGGCCUCAGUUCAGAUUGUAGGCUGCAACUCGCCUGCAUGAAGUUGGAGUUGCUAGUAACCGCGCGUCAGCUAUAGUGCGGUGAAUACGUUCCCGGGGCUU
Molecule: ribosomal RNA, 332 nt
Filed under: uncultured Anaerolineaceae bacterium
Lineage: Bacteria; Bacillati; Chloroflexota; Anaerolineae; Anaerolineales; Anaerolineaceae
Description: bacterial SSU rRNA
Rfam family: Bacterial small subunit ribosomal RNA
Source: RNAcentral